Molecule: ribosomal RNA, 486 nt
Filed under: uncultured bacterium
Lineage: Bacteria
Description: partial 16S ribosomal RNA
Rfam family: Bacterial small subunit ribosomal RNA
Source: RNAcentral
AUUGAACGCUGGCGGCAUGCCUUACACAUGCAAGUCGAACGGCAGCACGGGUGCUUGCACCUGGUGGCGAGUGGCGAACGGGUGAGUAAUACAUCGGAACAUGUCCUGUAGUGGGGGAUAGCCCGGCGAAAGCCGGAUUAAUACCGCAUACGAUCUACGGAUGAAAGCGGGGGACCUUCGGGCCUCGCGCUAUAGGGUUGGCCGAUAGCUGAUUAGCUAGUUGGUGGGGUAAAGGCCUACCAAGGCGACGAUCAGUAGCGGGUCUGAGAGGACGACCAGCCACACUGGGACUGAGACACGGCCCAGACUCCUACGGGAGGCAGCAGUGGGGAAUUUUGGACAAUGGGCGAAAGCCUGAUCCAGCAAUGCCGCGUGUGUGAAGAAGGCCUUCGGGUUGUAAAGCACUUUUGUCCGGAAAGAAAUCCUUGGCUCUAAUACAGUCGGGGGAUGACGGUACCGGAAGAAUAAGCACCGGCUAACUACGUG